UACGAAGGGUCCAAGCGUUAUCCGGAUUUAUUGGGUUUAAAGGGUGCGUAGGCGGCUUAUUAAGUCAGUGGUGAAAGACUUCAGCUUAACUGAAGAACUGCCAUUGAUACUGAUGAGCUUGAAUAUACUUGAGGUUGGCGGAAUGUGUCAUGUAGCGGUGAAAUGCUUAGAUAUGACACAGAACACCGAUUGCGAAGGCAGCUAGCUAAAGUAUGAUUGACGCUGAUGCACGAAAGCGUGGGGAGCAAACAGG
This 253-nucleotide ribosomal RNA is filed under the name uncultured bacterium. Its description in RNAcentral is "partial 16S ribosomal RNA". It matches the Rfam family "Bacterial small subunit ribosomal RNA", at positions 524 to 776 of the family's 1533-position model. The record is from RNAcentral.